GGGAAAUGAGGAUCGGGUUUAUUCUCGCAUAAAUGCGUGAAGAGUGUUCCGCUCAAACCUUUUACGACAAUUGGGCGCUCCAAUUUUCAUAUCAUCUGAUCCC
Molecule: small nucleolar RNA, 103 nt
Organism: Brassica oleracea var. oleracea
Lineage: Eukaryota; Viridiplantae; Streptophyta; Magnoliopsida; Brassicales; Brassicaceae
Rfam family: Small nucleolar RNA Z279/snoR105/snoR108
About the family: This family includes the plant snoRNAs known as Z279, snoR105 and snoR108.
Source: Rfam